UACGAAGGGGGCUAGCGUUGCUCGGAAUCACUGGGCGUAAAGCGCACGUAGGCGGACUCUUAAGUCGGUGGUGAAAUCCUGGAGCUCAACUCCAGAACUGCCUUCGAUACUGAGAGUCUUGAGUCCGAGAGAGGUGAGUGGAACUGCGAGUGUAGAGGUGAAAUUCGUAGAUAUUCGCAAGAACACCAGUGGCGAAGGCGGCUCACUGGCUCGGUACUGACGCUGAGGCACGAAAGCGUGGGGAGCAAACAGG
This 253-nucleotide ribosomal RNA is filed under the name uncultured bacterium. RNAcentral's name for it is "partial 16S ribosomal RNA". It matches the Rfam family "Bacterial small subunit ribosomal RNA", at positions 524 to 776 of the family's 1533-position model. The record is from RNAcentral.